CAGCCGCCGCGGUAAUACGAAGGGGGCUAGCGUUGCUCGGAAUGACUGGGCGUAAAGGGCGCGUAGGCGGCGAUCAAAGUCAGGCGUGAAAUUCCUGGGCUCAACCUGGGGGCUGCGUUUGAUACUUGAUUGCUAGAGUGGGGAAGAGGGUCGUGGAAUUCCCAGUGUAGAGGUGAAAUUCGUAGAUAUUGGGAAGAACACCGGUGGCGAAGGCGGCGACCUGGUCCUUGACUGACGCUGAGGCGCGAAAGCGUGGGGAGCAAACAGGAUUAGAUACCCCAGUAGUCCCUGUCUCUUAUAC
Molecule: ribosomal RNA, 301 nt
Filed under: uncultured bacterium
Lineage: Bacteria
Description: partial 16S ribosomal RNA
Rfam family: Bacterial small subunit ribosomal RNA
Source: RNAcentral